AACUUGCCUAGCAUGCACAAGGCUGGGGUUGGAUCCCUAGCUCUGGAGGGUCAUGGGAAGGAUACAAUAUAAUCAAAGUUUAUUGUUAGGUAAGUAUAAGGCGUCCGUGAGGGUUAUCAUCUUCAUCUUGGUCAGUAUUCCUGUCAAAGAAUACAGUUCCCUUUUCCCUCAGUCUGGGUGACCUGUCAGAGACCCCACCCUAGAACGAGAGUCCCACAUCUUCCCACCGUGUCUAGUCCCUCAGAUGGUAGUAAAUAUGACGAGUUCGAGUUUCAAAGUUUGUUUCCUUAAUUAUUCCCAAUAUGCUGGACUUGCCUGUCUCUCCUCACACAUCAGGAGAGCUGUGGUGAUCAAGCCCGGGCUCAUCAGAUAUACAGUCAUGUGUUGCUGAUCACAGGGACACCUUCUGGCCAAUGUGUUGUGACCCUGUGAAUGCCACCGAGCUGACUACAGAUGGCAGAGCCAGCUGCACAUCUAGGCUUCAGGAUAGAGGCUGCAGCUCCUAGCCUGCAAUCUGAACAGCUUGUCCUAGACCGCAUACUUUAAGUGAUUGUAACAAUAAUAUUUGUAUAUCCAAACAUGUAAGCCCAGAAAAGUAAAAAAAAAAAAAAAAAAAAGAAAAGAAAAGAAAAGAAAAGAAAAAAUUGUAGAAAAUAGCUUCCACGGUAUACGAAACAGUGAGUAAAAAUAUUGCAGAAAAGAUACAAGAUGGAAGGUAGUUGUGGCAGUUUCUGCCUUCAGUGUCAGCCCUGAGAGGCAGACAGGAAGACCAAGUGUAAGGCCAUGUCGACUGCAUAGUAGUUUGAGGGUCACUUGGCUUUCUCAAAACAAACACAACUACAAAAUGCUGUAACUGUAGAGGACUCUUACCAAGACGAGAGCAUGCGUGUCUGAGAGUUGCCCUGGGGUAAUUAGUGAGUAACAGACAAUGAAUGUGGAGAUCACUGACACACAUUACUGUGCAUUUGUACACACUGCACAAUUGGACUAAAUGUCAUUUAUUUUAAACAAUUUCUUUCUUAAAUAAUAAAUUAACUUCUACAAUAUACUGGCUAUUUUAUAACAUUAAUUUUUUUUUUUUUUACUUUUUACUUUUUUUAUUUUUUCUCCAACUAUGUAACCCAGGCUGCCCUCAGACUCAGUGUGUAUGAAUGACUUUGAGCUUCACCUCCAAAGUGCUAGGUUUACCAGCAUGUGCCACUAUGCCUGCCUUUAAAAAAACAACAUCAACAGCAAAACAAAGCCUUUUUGAACUCUUGCAGUAAGAUCUAGCUUAGAACACAUUGUAUAGAUAUUUUAAAAUAUUCUUUUCUUAUGUGCUUAAUCUGUGAGGUCAUUUUUGUUUGUUGUUUGGUGGUUGUGUUGUGUUGUUUCACUUUGGGAUGUCUCUAUAGGCCAGGCUGGCCUAGUAACUUGCUUUGUAGCUGAAGAUGACCUUGAAUGUUUGGUUCUCCGGCCUCUGCCUCCUGAGUGCUGGGAUGACAGGCGUGCACCAGGUUUACAUAGAACUGGGGAUCAUAGCUAGGGCCUGCUCAUGCUAGAGGACCCAGGUUCAAUUCCCAGGACCCACAUGACUGCUCACAACUGUCUGUAACUCCAGUUCCAGGGGACCUGACAGCCAUGGCAAAGCACCAAAGCACAUAAAACAAAAAACAAAAAAAAACAAACCAAACAACAACAAAAAAACCACUUUAAAAACAUUUUUUUUUUUUUUUUUGCUAUUGUUCAAAGCCAAGUUGCAAACACAUGCAUUAGCUUACACAGGAUCAAACUCAGCCUUAUUUGAACCAGGUGUGGUGGUGUGCUUCUGUAAUACAAGCAUGUGGGAGGCUGAGGAAGGGCGAUUGCUUCAAGCUGUAGGUCAGCUACUUGCUAAGUUCAAGGCCAGCCUAAGAUCCACUGAAUUUUAGCGUGCUUGCCUACCAUACACAAGGCUCUGGCUUCUAUCCAGGCACUAAAAAAAUGUAACUGAUGUGACAUCUUUUGCCUCCACCUUUUAUGCGGUCUUCCUGGAAGACGGUUAGGGGCAGUGACAUGCCUAGAACGGUUGUCUCUUACGAUGACAAUAAUGCAUUCUGAAGGACUGACUUGAGACUCUUUCACAGUUAACUUCAUACUCGUAUCUAAGCAGGGAUACACCCUAAGAUGAAAGCAUACAAUAGAAACUUCACUGUGAUAAAUGCACAAGCCAGUAACAGUCAUUUAUGAUUAUCAGGUGCUGUACGUAAUUGUAUGGCGGUAUAUUUGGCUGCACACUUGACUUGUUUAC
Molecule: long non-coding RNA, 2269 nt
Filed under: Cricetulus griseus (Chinese hamster)
Lineage: Eukaryota; Metazoa; Chordata; Mammalia; Rodentia; Cricetidae
Description: lncRNA (ENSCGRG00015038325.1)
Source: RNAcentral